RNAcentral lists this ribosomal RNA (360 nucleotides) under uncultured bacterium. Its description in RNAcentral is "partial 16S ribosomal RNA". It matches the Rfam family "Bacterial small subunit ribosomal RNA", at positions 338 to 695 of the family's 1533-position model. The record is from RNAcentral.
CCUACGGGUGGCAGCAGUGAGGAAUAUUGGGCAAUGGGCGCGAGCCUGAACCAGCCAAGGAGCGUGAAGGAUGACUGCCCGAGGGGUUGUAAACUUCUGUGAUAGGGGAAGAAAGUGCAGUAGGUAGACGGCUUUGCAUGUACCUUAUGAAUAAGGAUCGGCUAACUCCGUGCAAGGAGCCGCGGUAAUACGGAGGAUCCGAGCGUUCUCCGGAGUUAUUGGGGUUAAAGGGAGCGUAGGCGGGUUGUUAAGUCAGUUGUGAAAGUUUGCGGCUCAACCGUAAAAUUGCAGUUGAUACUGGCAUCCUUGCGUACAGUCGCGGUAGGCGGUAUUCGUGGUGUAGCGGUGCACUGCUUUGAU